Molecule: ribosomal RNA, 400 nt
Filed under: uncultured bacterium
Lineage: Bacteria
Description: bacterial SSU rRNA
Rfam family: Bacterial small subunit ribosomal RNA
Source: RNAcentral
UGAGGAAUAUUGGUCAAUGGGCGAGAGCCUGAACCAGCCAAGUCGCGUGAGGGAUGACUGCCCUAUGGGUUGUAAACCUCUUUUGUAUGGGGGGAAUAAGCUUUACGAGUAGAGUGAUGACAGUACCAUACGAAUAAGCAUCGGCUAACUCCGUGCCAGCAGCCGCGGUAAUACGGAGGAUGCGAGCGUUAUCCGGAUUUAUUGGGUUUAAAGGGUGCGUAGGCGGCAUUAUAAGUUAGUGGUAAAAUAUUGGGGCUUCACCUCACUACGCCAUUAAUACUGUAGAGCUAGAGAACAGACGAGGUAGGCGGAAUAAGUUAAGUAGCGGUGAAAUGCAUAGAUAUAACUUAGAACACCGAUAGCGAAGGCAGCUUACCAGACUGAGUCUGACGCUGAUGCA